This 292-nucleotide ribosomal RNA is filed under the name uncultured bacterium. Its description in RNAcentral is "partial 16S ribosomal RNA". It matches the Rfam family "Bacterial small subunit ribosomal RNA", at positions 505 to 796 of the family's 1533-position model. The record is from RNAcentral.
GUGUCAGCAGCCGCGGUAAUACGGAGGGGGCAAGCGUUGUUCGGAAUUACUGGGCGUAAAGGGCGCGUAGGCGGCUUUUUAAGUCGGUGGUGAAAUCCCGUGGCUCAACUGCGGAAUGGCCAUCGAUACUGGAAAGCUUGAAUCCGGAAGAGGUCGGCGGAAUUACUGGUGUAGCGGUGAAAUGCGUAGAUAUCAGUAGGAACACCGAUGGCGAAGGCAGCUGGCUGGACCGGUAUUGACGCUGAGGCGCGAAAGCGUGGGGAUCAAACAGGAUUAGAAACCCUCGUAGUCC